UACGGAGGGUGCGAGCGUUGUCCGGAAUCACUGGGCGUAAAGGGCGCGUAGGCGGCCUGAUAAGUAGGGGGUGAAAUCCUGCGGCUUAACCGCAGGGCUGCCUUCUAAACUGUCAGGCUCGAGCACAGUAGAGGCAGGUGGAAUUCCCGGUGUAGCGGUGGAAUGCGUAGAGAUCGGGAAGAACAUCAGUGGCGAAGGCGGCUAUCUGGACCGACAUUGACGCUGAGGCGCGAAAGCGUGGGGAGCAAACAGG
This 253-nucleotide ribosomal RNA is filed under the name uncultured bacterium. RNAcentral describes it as "partial 16S ribosomal RNA". It matches the Rfam family "Bacterial small subunit ribosomal RNA", at positions 524 to 776 of the family's 1533-position model. The record is from RNAcentral.